AUAACAGUACCGCGCACUACUAGUUUGGUAAUUGGAAUGAGUACAAUCUAAAUCCCUCAAUGAGGAUCCAUUGGAGGGCAAGUCAAGUGCUAGCAGUCGCGGUAAUUCUAGCUCCAA
Molecule: ribosomal RNA, 117 nt
Filed under: Solanum tuberosum (potato)
Lineage: Eukaryota; Viridiplantae; Streptophyta; Magnoliopsida; Solanales; Solanaceae
Description: rRNA SSU_rRNA_eukarya
Rfam family: Eukaryotic small subunit ribosomal RNA
Source: RNAcentral